Molecule: ribosomal RNA, 253 nt
Filed under: uncultured bacterium
Lineage: Bacteria
Description: partial 16S ribosomal RNA
Rfam family: Bacterial small subunit ribosomal RNA
Source: RNAcentral
UACGUAGGGUGCAGGCGUUAAUCGGAAUUACUGGGCGUAAAGCGUGCGCAGGCGGUCUCUUAAGACAGCUGUGAAAUCCCCGGGCCCAACCUGGGCACUGCAGUUGGAACUGGCAAGCUAGAGUAGGGUAGAGGGGUGUGGAAUUCCAGGUGUAGCGGUGAAAUGCGUAGAUAUCUGGAGGAACAUCAGUGGCGAAGGCGACACCCUGGACUCAUACUGACACUGAGGUGCGAAAGCGUGGGGAGCAAACAGG